AGAGUUUGAUCAUGGCUCAGGAUGAACGCUAGCGGCAGGCUUAAUACAUGCAAGUCGUGGGGCAGCACAAAUAGCAAUAUUGGGUGGCGACCGGCAAACGGGUGCGUAACACGUACGCAACCUUCCCGUUACUGGGGAAUAGCCCAGGGAAACUUGGAUUAAUACCCCAUAUUAUAUAGAUCAGGCAUCUGGUUUAUAUCAAAGCUUCGGCGGUAACGGAUGGGCGUGCGGUUGAUUAGGUAGUUGGCGGGGUAACGGCCCACCAAGCCUACGAUCAAUAGCUGAUGUGAGAGCAUGAUCAGCCACACGGGCACUGAGACACGGGCCCGACUCCUACGGGAGGCAGCAGUAAGGAAUAUUGGGCAAUGGACGCAAGUCUGACCCAGCCAUGCCGCGUGAAGGAUGAAGGUCCUCUGGAUUGUAAACUUCUUUUAUCUGGGGCGAAAAUCGGGUAUUCUUAUCCGCUUGACAGUACCAGAGGAAUAAGCACCGGCUAACUCCGUGCCAGCAGCCGCGGUAAUACGGAGGGUGCAAGCGUUAUCCGGAUUCACUGGGUUUAAAGGGUGCGUAGGUGGGCAGGUAAGUCAGUGGUGAAAUCCCCGAGCUUAACUUGGGAACUGCCGUUGAUACUAUCUGUCUUGAAUAUCGUGGAGGUUAGCGGAAUAUGUCAUGUAGCGGUGAAAUGCAUAGAGAUGACAUA
Molecule: ribosomal RNA, 700 nt
Filed under: uncultured bacterium
Lineage: Bacteria
Description: bacterial SSU rRNA
Rfam family: Bacterial small subunit ribosomal RNA
Source: RNAcentral